Long non-coding RNA from Amphiprion ocellaris (clown anemonefish), 1501 nucleotides. RefSeq lists it as uncharacterized. The transcript is spliced from 4 exons. Lineage: Eukaryota; Metazoa; Chordata; Actinopteri; Pomacentridae. The record is from RefSeq and is a predicted model, not a curated record.
AACCGUUUAAAAUCACUUUACUCUUAUAUUUUUUUUACUUUCAGGAGGUUCGAGUUCUCACAUUUAGGUGUUAAAUCUGCGAUCUGUGUGUCCGGACUGUGUUGUUUCCAUGGCGACGGGGAGGACAUCGGCAAGUUGACCUCCGACCGAACUGUGACCGGAGCUUCUGCCGGGCUUCAGCUCCGGUUGACUCCCCGACGGUGACGUAGCAGCCGAGCCUCACCUCCGGUCACUCCAGACGCCAUAAAUCUGAAGGAAAGCAGCUCAGAGAGCUUCACCUUCACCGACGUGGGGCUUCUGAAGGAUCGCAUCCAUCAGCUCGGUGGGAACCGAAGCCGAGUCCGUCCGCCAGAGGAAGGGAAAACAAAUACGAGAAGGAAAAAAAAAAUCAAGAAGCAUGAGCUCAUCACCUCAGACUUGGACGGAGGGAAGUGCACUGAAUGUGGAGUUCACAUGUUUGCAGAACAGAACUUAAAGUGUUGCAGGAGCACUGGGAGCAGAGCAUCACUGCACGAGGAGAAUAACUCAGCAGAGAUGACAGCCAAUCAAAAAUGAAGUGUCUCAUGUGGCCCUGCAGCUUCUCCUCCUCCACCUCCUCCUGAAGCCUUCAUCUUCUUCAUCAUCAGCUGCUCAGUGACUCUGUUGGACGUCUCACCGCGUGGCAGCAGCUCAGGUCAGUGGUGAAGAUCCUCUUUAUCAGCUCCACACCCACAGACGUAGUGAACGCAGCGUCUGUUGUUGUGCUAAUAAGAAGCUGCAGCUGAGCAGCAGCAACUCUGUUCACUCCAGCCUCAGUCACACAUGGAGUCAGAGCAACACCCUGUCAGAGCUGAUUCCUCAAUGUUAGAUCUGAUUAAUCUCUCUCUAGUAACAGGUUAUGUACCACAGGCUUUUAAGGUUGCUGUAAUCAAACCUUUACUUAAAAAGCCCACUCUAGAUCCAGAUGUUUUAGCCAACUAUAGACCAGUUUCCAACCUCCCAUUUCUCUCCAAAAUUCUGGAAAGAACAGUUGCAAAUCAAUUAUGUGAACAUUUACAAAGGAAUAGCUUGUUUGAAGAGUUUCAGUCAGGCUUCAGAGUGCAUCAUAGCACAGAAACAGCUCUGGUGAAAGUUACUAAUGACCUUCUCAUAGCGUCAGAUAAUGGACUGGUCUCUAUACUUAUUUUAUUGGACCUUAGUGCAGCAUUCGAUACAAUCGACCACAAACUUUUAUUACAGCGACUAGAACAUUCUAUUGGCAUUAAAGGGACAGCACUGGACUGGUUUAAAUCCUACUUAUCAGACAGGUUCCAGUUUGUGCAUGUCAACAAUGACUCUUCUGAGCAUACUAGGGUUAAUCAUGGAGUUCCUCAGGGUUCUGUCUUAGGACCCAUACUGUUCACAUUAUACAUGCUUCCCUUAGGCAGUGGUGGUUUCACUGCAAGCAUCUACUGAUGUCACCAGGGAAGUAAAUAAAAAAAGAACUUUGCGCUCUUUGCGCUCUUUGCGCUCUUUGCGCUCU